RNA transcript from Vigna angularis (adzuki bean), 1243 nucleotides. RefSeq lists it as uncharacterized. The record is from RefSeq and is a predicted model, not a curated record. The transcript is spliced from 8 exons. NCBI's taxonomy places the organism in Eukaryota, Viridiplantae, Streptophyta, Magnoliopsida, Fabales, Fabaceae.
UCUGGUUUCUUCUUCCCCCUCACUCCCUUCGUAGCCAAAACAGCGGUGUCACUUCAUCACCCGAGCUGGGUGGCGCGUGGAGCACAAUUGUCAAUGGAAGGCUUGAAGGUCUCGAAAGCGAAUUUAACUGUAUACAUUCACCCUUCAAAGAGCAACCAGGUUUCCCAAGCCGUUCUCCGCGAACUCAGCUCCUUGCUUUUCACGUUCAGCGAAAUCGUCGACGGCGUCGUUUUGGCCUACGAUGUCAACUCGCUCGACACGUGCGCUAAGAUCCUCUCCGGCGUUCACCCUUACUUCGGCGUCAGACUCAAGGUCAAUUUUUUGCUCUUUUCUCCCAAGCCAAACACGCUUUUAGAAGGGAAGGUGGUUAAGCUUACGGAGGAUUCCAUUCACGUUGUUGUGCUUGGCUUUUCUGCUGCGGUUAUAGCAGAGAAAGACAUCAGGGAAGAGUUUGUGUGGAAAAUGAAAAAAGGGCAUGAGGUGUACGCAAGCAGGUCUAACAAGCGACAUGUGAUAAAGGUCGGGACCAUGAUACGGUUUUUAGUCAAGAGUUUUGAUGAAGAAAUACUUCAUGUUUAUGGAUCUCUAAUUCCUGAUCACACAGGCAGCAUUCAUUGGUUGGACAAAAACUUAGAAGUUGUUUCCCAUGCUGACAGGAGUGAAAAGAAGAAAAGAAUUCAGCCAGAACGAAUAAUGCUUGAACAAGAUGCUGUGGAUGGGGAACUGUCAACCUUGGACAUUGUCGAAAAGAGAACAAGUGCAAAAAGGCAAAAACACUUGGAGGAAUCUUGAAUGUAGAAUUGGAAUCUUAUGUUGAGUGCAUUUUAUCCACAGGUCAACCCACUUGUAACCUGGCUCAAACCUGUUUGACUCAUCUUAAAUGAGGACUGGUAACGCAAAUUGGCGUCUUAAUUACAUUGGGAUGCUUCAGCAUUUAGACUUCUGAAAGGAUUCCCGAAGUUUCCUUGGACAUAGGUGCACUUGUUUCAUUUAGGUCAUAAUUUUUGAAGAUUCUGAUGAUAAUUUACUGUAUGAUUAAGAAGUCAAAGGAAGUUUUGCAGUAUUUUUCUAUUGGUAACAUAGCUUAUUAAUUGAAUCCUAUAGGAAGUGGGACCUAUCCAUGUAUAUCACCGAGUCUCGUAAUUAGAUAGGAUGGCAUGAAUUACGUGGGAAGAAAGGUUGACUAUUUUCUUGGUUUGAUCACAUCAAUAUUAUAUGCUGAAAUUAUCCUAAGCUUUUUUUC